GACGAACGCUGGCGGCGUGCCUAAUACAUGCAAGUUGAGCGAUGAAGAUUGGUGCUUGCACCAAUUUGAAGAGCAGCGAACGGGUGAGUAACGCGUGGGGAAUCUGCCUUUGAGCGGGGGACAACAUUUGGAAACGAAUGCUAAUACCGCAUAACAACUUUAAACAUAAGUUUUAAGUUUGAAAGAUGCAAUUGCAUCACUCAAAGAUGAUCCCGCGUUGUAUUAGCUAGUUGGUGAGGUAAAGGCUCACCAAGGCGAUGAUACAUAGCCGACCUGAGAGGGUGAUCGGCCACAUUGGGACUGAGACACGGCCCAACCUCCUACGGGAGGCAGCAGUAGGGAAUCUUCGGCAAUGGACGAAAGUCUGACCGAGCAACGCCGCGUGAGUGAAGAAGGGUUUCGGAUCGUAAAACUCUGUUGGUAGAGAAGAACGUUGGUGAGAGUGGAAAGCUCAUCAAGUGACGGUAACUACCCAGAAAGGGACGGCUAACUACGUG
Molecule: ribosomal RNA, 497 nt
Filed under: uncultured bacterium
Lineage: Bacteria
Description: partial 16S ribosomal RNA
Rfam family: Bacterial small subunit ribosomal RNA
Source: RNAcentral